This 253-nucleotide ribosomal RNA is filed under the name uncultured bacterium. RNAcentral's name for it is "partial 16S ribosomal RNA". It matches the Rfam family "Bacterial small subunit ribosomal RNA", at positions 524 to 776 of the family's 1533-position model. The record is from RNAcentral.
UACAGAGGGUGCAACCGUUGCUCGGAAUUAUUGGGCGUAAAGCGCGUGUAGGCGGCUUGUUAAGUCGGGUGUGAAAGCCCCGGGCUCAACCUGGGAAUUGCAUUCGAGACUGCAUUGCUGGAGUACGGAAGAGGAGGGCGGAAUUCCCGGUGUAGCGGUGAAAUGCGUAGAUAUCGGGAGGAACAUCAGUGGCGAAGGCGGCCCUCUGGUCCAGUACUGACACUCAAGUGCGAAAGCGUGGGGAGCAAACAGG